This is a long non-coding RNA of Scleropages formosus (Asian bonytongue), 601 nucleotides long. RefSeq lists it as uncharacterized. The transcript is spliced from 3 exons. The record is from RefSeq and is a predicted model, not a curated record. Lineage: Eukaryota; Metazoa; Chordata; Actinopteri; Osteoglossiformes; Osteoglossidae.
UGUGUUUUAAACGAGGAAAGAGUAGUAGGCCUCUCGCAGUUUAUUGCUUAUAUUAUAAACAAAGAGCCCUGGAAGCCGGUGCGCUAUCAAUCUUACUCGCCAAAAGGUCUGACAGCUUCGUGCCCUGAGAACACAUUUAAACCUUCUAACUCUGUCUUAGAUCAAAUACAGCCAGGAAGAGGGGACCAACACUGAGUACUUAUAUUAGAAUAAGCUUCUGCUGCUGAUCUAUCUUUACUCAAGGAUUUAUUAAUAUGUCAAUUUAAUGACAGAAAUAAUGUGAAAUCGAGAGUCGGUGUGGACAGAAGACAAAGACAGCCAAGCCGUGGAUGAGACUCCCUGAACCCCCAGAACAUUCUUCCUGUGAUGGACGUGUCCGUGCGGAUGUGUGGGAGAACGAGGUCACAUUUAGUUGUCUUUUUAGCCAUCAGGUUUUGGAAGGAGCUGCAUACAUUUCCUGCUACAUAAUUCAUUUUCCUAAAUACGGUUGUUUAUUACGUUUUCAAAUCAUGUAAACCUGAUAUAUGUAUGGCCAACCAAUAUGAAAACAUUACAGUUUAACGUUAUGCUUUGCUUAUUUACGAUUUAGCAAGUGUAAUGU